RNAcentral lists this ribosomal RNA (1372 nucleotides) under uncultured bacterium. RNAcentral describes it as "bacterial SSU rRNA". It matches the Rfam family "Bacterial small subunit ribosomal RNA", at positions 28 to 1381 of the family's 1533-position model. The record is from RNAcentral.
GAUGAACGCUGGCGGCGUGCCUAAUACAUGCAAGUCGAGCGAACGGACGAGAAGCUUGCUUCUCUGAUGUUAGCGGCGGACGGGUGAGUAACACGUGGAUAACCUACCUAUAAGACUGGGAUAACUUCGGGAAACCGGAGCUAAUACCGGAUAAUAUUUUGAACCGCAUGGUUCAAAAGUGAAAGACGGUCUUGCUGUCACUUAUAGAUGGAUCCGCGCUGCAUUAGCUAGUUGGUAAGGUAACGGCUUACCAAGGCAACGAUGCAUAGCCGACCUGAGAGGGUGAUCGGCCACACUGGAACUGAGACACGGUCCAGACUCCUACGGGAGGCAGCAGUAGGGAAUCUUCCGCAAUGGGCGAAAGCCUGACGGAGCAACGCCGCGUGAGUGAUGAAGGUCUUCGGAUCGUAAAACUCUGUUAUUAGGGAAGAACAUAUGUGUAAGUAACUGUGCACAUCUUGACGGUACCUAAUCAGAAAGCCACGGCUAACUACGUGCCAGCAGCCGCGGUAAUACGUAGGUGGCAAGCGUUAUCCGGAAUUAUUGGGCGUAAAGCGCGCGUAGGCGGUUUUUUAAGUCUGAUGUGAAAGCCCACGGCUCAACCGUGGAGGGUCAUUGGAAACUGGAAAACUUGAGUGCAGAAGAGGAAAGUGGAAUUCCAUGUGUAGCGGUGAAAUGCGCAGAGAUAUGGAGGAACACCAGUGGCGAAGGCGACUUUCUGGUCUGUAACUGACGCUGAUGUGCGAAAGCGUGGGGAUCAAACAGGAUUAGAUACCCUGGUAGUCCACGCCGUAAACGAUGAGUGCUAAGUGUUAGGGGGUUUCCGCCCCUUAGUGCUGCAGCUAACGCAUUAAGCACUCCGCCUGGGGAGUACGACCGCAAGGUUGAAACUCAAAGGAAUUGACGGGGACCCGCACAAGCGGUAGAGCAUGUGGUUUAAUUCGAAGCAACGCGAAGAACCUUACCAAAUCUUGACAUCCUUUGACAACUCUAGAGAUAGAGCCUUCCCCUUCGGGGGACAAAGUGACAGGUGGUGCAUGGUUGUCGUCAGCUCGUGUCGUGAGAUGUUGGGUUAAGUCCCGCAACGAGCGCAACCCUUAAGCUUAGUUGCCAUCAUUAAGUUGGGCACUCUAAGUUGACUGCCGGUGACAAACCGGAGGAAGGUGGGGAUGACGUCAAAUCAUCAUGCCCCUUAUGAUUUGGGCUACACACGUGCUACAAUGGACAAUACAAAGGGCAGCGAAACCGCGAGGUCAAGCAAAUCCCAUAAAGUUGUUCUCAGUUCGGAUUGUAGUCUGCAACUCGACUACAUGAAGCUGGAAUCGCUAGUAAUCGUAGAUCAGCAUGCUACGGUGAAUACGUUCCCGGGUCU